UCCGUUCUUCCUCUCGAGAACGCUCGCGACGUGGCGUGAGACGGCGGCGGAAGCACGGUGCUCCGGCAUGGUGAGGACUUGGUGCGGCGGCGGCGGAAGCGCGGUGCUCCGGCAUGGUGAGGACUUGGUGCGGCGGCGGAAGCGCGGUGCUCCGGCAUGGCAAGUUGCUCCUGAGCCCUGCUGUCUGCUUGGACAAUCUACGUUCACCUUCCAAUGGAGCAGUGACAGUAGCGAGAGUCAAGAAGGGCAGGGGAGAGAGGGGAUGUCAUGCAGCAAAGGGCCCGGGCCGGACUCGAACCCGGGCUGCUGCAGUAAGGACUCAGCCUUAUGUGGUACCGCUACCAGAUAGUUGCUUAUGACUGGCUCUGUGGCUUAGACCGUACGGUGGACUACCAUACAGACUUGAGUGGCUGUUUGCCUUUCAGGUGUGGUGCAGAGCAAGAUGUUAGAAAAGGCAGACCUCGCCCUGCAGAAGGUUGAGGUGUUCUCUGGGGUUCUGAGAAGUCUGCAUGUGUCCAGUACACCAGUUUGUUCAAUGUCCCCCUUCCAUCUGGAUCACUGGUCCCUCGUCCAUCUGGAUCACCAACAGAAUUGUGCCAUGUCCUGACCAACCGACACCUGCCGUCUGGGUUUGGCUUCACUGGCCUGGAAACAUCUACUGGAAACGUGUGAUUUCUGGACGAACAUAACUUCUAAUGUACUCCUCAGCUGUCAAUCUGACCCCAACAGCAUUUUCUGAAACGUUGAAGAUGUGAACUUGAUUAAGAAUAAAAUGAACAGUACUAUAAAA
This is a long non-coding RNA of Lampris incognitus (smalleye Pacific opah), 790 nucleotides long. RefSeq lists it as uncharacterized. The record is from RefSeq and is a predicted model, not a curated record. The transcript is spliced from 6 exons. NCBI's taxonomy places the organism in Eukaryota, Metazoa, Chordata, Actinopteri, Lampriformes, Lampridae.